This 301-nucleotide ribosomal RNA is filed under the name uncultured bacterium. RNAcentral's name for it is "partial 16S ribosomal RNA". It matches the Rfam family "Bacterial small subunit ribosomal RNA", at positions 509 to 809 of the family's 1533-position model. The record is from RNAcentral.
CAGCCGCCGCGGUAAUACGGAGGGUGCAAGCGUUAAUCGGAAUUACUGGGCGUAAAGCGCACGCAGGCGGUCUGACAAGUCAGAUGUGAAAUCCCCGGGCUUAACCUGGGAACUGCAUUUGAAACUGUCAGGCUGGAGUCUUGUAGAGGGGGGUGGAAUUCCAGGUGUAGCGGUGAAAUGCGUAGAGAUCUGGAGGAAUACCGGUGGCGAAGGCGGCCCCCUGGACAAAGACUGACGCUCAGGUGCGAAAGCGUGGGGAGCAAACAGGAUUAGAGACCCCGGUAGUCCCUGUCUCUUAUAU